RNAcentral lists this transfer RNA (66 nucleotides) under Rhyacophila kando. Its description in RNAcentral is "tRNA-Asp". The record is from RNAcentral. Lineage: Eukaryota; Metazoa; Arthropoda; Insecta; Trichoptera; Rhyacophilidae.
AAAGAAUUAGUUAAAUAAAUAACAUAAAUAUGUCAAUUUUAAAUUAUUAAUAAAUAAUAUUCUUUU